This 65-nucleotide transfer RNA is filed under the name Apis nigrocincta. RNAcentral describes it as "tRNA-Ala". Lineage: Eukaryota; Metazoa; Arthropoda; Insecta; Hymenoptera; Apidae. The record is from RNAcentral.
UGGAUAUUAGUUAAUUUAUAACAUUUAAAUUGCAUUUAAAAAUUAAUAAAAUUUAUUAUAUCUAA